This 458-nucleotide ribosomal RNA is filed under the name uncultured bacterium. RNAcentral's name for it is "partial 16S ribosomal RNA". It matches the Rfam family "Bacterial small subunit ribosomal RNA", at positions 338 to 795 of the family's 1533-position model. The record is from RNAcentral.
CCUACGGGUGGCAGCAGUGGGGAAUAUUGCACAAUGGGGGAAACACUGAUGCAGCGACGCCGCGUGAGUGAAGAAGUAUUUCGGUAUGUAAAGCUCUAUCAGCAGGGAAGAAAUAGCGACCUUUGGGUCGCCAGACGGUACCUGUUUAAGAAGCGCCGGCUAACUACGUGCCAACAGCCGCGGUAAUACGUAGGGGGCAAGCGUUAUCCGGAUUUACUGGGGGUAAAGGGAGCGUAGACGGCAGCGCAAGACUGAGGUGAAAUGCCGGGGCUUAACCCCGGAACUGCUUUGGAAACUGUGCGGCUAGAGUGCAGGAGAGGUAAGCGGAAUUCGUGGUGUAGCGGUGAAAUGCGUAGAUAUUAGGAGGAACACCGGUGGCGAAGGCGGCUUACUGGACUGUAACUGACGUUGAGGCUCGAAAGCGUGGGGAGCGAACAGGAUUAGAUACCCUAGUAGUC